This 119-nucleotide ribosomal RNA is filed under the name Pteropus alecto (black flying fox). Lineage: Eukaryota; Metazoa; Chordata; Mammalia; Chiroptera; Pteropodidae. The record is from RNAcentral.
GUCUAUGGCCAUGCUACCCUGAACAAGCCCAAUCCCGUCUGAUCUCGGAAGCUAAACAGGUUCAGGCCUGGUUAGUACUUGGAUGAGAGACCACCUAGGAAGACCAAGUGCUGUAAAAA